This 97-nucleotide ribosomal RNA is filed under the name Bifidobacteriaceae bacterium. Its description in RNAcentral is "partial 16S ribosomal RNA". It matches the Rfam family "Bacterial small subunit ribosomal RNA", at positions 1 to 92 of the family's 1533-position model. Lineage: Bacteria; Bacillati; Actinomycetota; Actinomycetes; Bifidobacteriales; Bifidobacteriaceae. The record is from RNAcentral.
UUGAUGGAGAGUUUGAUCCUGGCUCAGGACGAACGCUGGCGGCGUGCUUAACACAUGCAAGUCGGACGAUGAUCUGGGGGCUUUCGGGUUUCCUGGU